AGUGCCCCGCCCAGCAUACAGUAUAAAUACAGUGCUCAGCCUUGCCAUCUCCCACAGAGCGUGCCAGACCAGAAACAACUCCGCUCCAGAGAGAGUAAAGACGCAAAGAUGAAGGUGUCAUAUGUGGCCGCUUUCCUCAUCGGGCUCCUCUCCCUGGAGAGCACCAGAGCGGCUCCGUUGUUGUGGUCUGUGGGCUCUGGUAGCGUAAAGACCGGUGACGUGGGCCACGGCAGCUUUAACGACAACAGCAAAAACAACAAAUUCUGGUCAGUGGGCUCUGGUAGCGUAAAGACUGGUGACGUGGGCCACGGCAGCUUUAACGACAACAGCAAAAACAACCAAUUCUGGUCAGUGGACUCUGGUAGCGUAAACACCGGUAACGUGGGCCACGGCAGCUUUAACGACAACAGUAUAAACAACAAAUUCUUGCCAGUGAAAAACAACAAAUUCUGGUCAGUGGGCUCUGGUAGCGUAAACACUGGAGACGUGGGCCACGGCAGCUUUAACGACAACAGUAUAAACAACAAAAUCUUGCCAGUGAAAAAGAACAAAUUCUGGUCAGUGGGCUCUGGGAGCGUAAACACCGGUGACGUGGGCCACGGCAGCUUUAACGACAACAGCAAAAACAACAAAUUCUGGUCAGUGGACUCUGGUAGCGUAAACACCGGUGACGUAGGCCAUGGCAGCUUUAACGACAACAGCAAAAACAACAAAUUAUGCUUAGUGGGCUCCGGAAGCAAAAAGACCGGCAAAGUGGUCGACAGCAGCUUUGACAACAAAAGCGUAAGUAGUAGAGAUUAUCUCUCCAUGCUAUGUAGCUUCACACACAUCUGUGAACAGACCGUGUUUCAGCUAGUUUGAUGUCUCGUAACCUUUGCCUGCGAGGAACACUGGCUGCAUUUGCCCAUGUUGUAAAUGCAGCAUGGAGAGUCCUCCCACUCCACAGGCUCCUCCCCACAGCUCCCAUUGAACGGUUUCCAGACAAUGGGAGUGCCGAUCUGUUGCUUAUAGUGGGGGCAUAGCUUCAUGGCCCCUCUUCCUAGAAGCUGGACCUGCUGCUGGCUGCUUCCGGGGCGCAACGCGGUGUCAGAAC
RNAcentral lists this long non-coding RNA (1093 nucleotides) under Gopherus agassizii (Agassiz's desert tortoise). Its description in RNAcentral is "lncRNA (ENSGAGG00000008022.1)". Lineage: Eukaryota; Metazoa; Chordata; Testudines; Testudinidae. The record is from RNAcentral.